Molecule: microRNA precursor, 101 nt
Filed under: Erinaceus europaeus (western European hedgehog)
Lineage: Eukaryota; Metazoa; Chordata; Mammalia; Eulipotyphla; Erinaceidae
Description: miRNA (ENSEEUG00000016061.1)
Rfam family: mir-204 microRNA precursor family (bases 17-98)
Source: RNAcentral
GGCUACAGUUCUCUUCAUGUGACUCGAGGACUUCCCUUUGUCAUCUUAUGCCUGAAAAUAUAGAAGGAUGCUGUGAUGGCAAGAGGACGUUUCAGUUUGUC